UUUUUUUUGUUUACUUAUAUUGUUUUUAUUUUUAAUGGAACUUUGUCUUACAGUGGGAUUGUUAUACAGUUGCCAUGCUGUGUUGGAACUCUAUUUAAGUUUUUUUAAGUUGUAAUAUUUUGUAUACUAUGUUAAAUGGCGAAGUGUCAAAAGGAAGGCAAUUAGCUAAUUUCCGAGUUUCCGUUCUUGGGACAAAGCGUAAACAGUCGGAAAACUUUUUUUUUUAUUAUGUGUCAAUGCAAUAAUUUCAAUCGGGACAUUUCUGAGGAAAAAGAAACAUUAUGGGCUUUCUUUGCUCAUUGUUGAAGGCCGUACGGUGACCUAUUUUUAUUAGUUUCUGUGUCGUUUUUGGUCUCGUGUGGAGAGUUGUCUCAUGGGCAAUAAUACCAAAUUCCUUAAAAUGACGAAAAUUGAAUGAAUUUUCAUUUGUUUGGAUCAAUUCACGGGUUAUUUCAGCGUCUUUGGAGAAAAACAGUAUGUCUUCUUUUAAUAAUAAUGAAAACAGCCAUUAAAUUCAAUUAAUAUCAAUUGAUAGAUAGAUUUGCGUUCU
This 550-nucleotide long non-coding RNA is filed under the name Mytilus galloprovincialis (Mediterranean mussel). Lineage: Eukaryota; Metazoa; Mollusca; Bivalvia; Mytilida; Mytilidae. The record is from RNAcentral.